This 72-nucleotide transfer RNA is filed under the name Bos taurus (domestic cattle). It matches the Rfam family "tRNA". Rfam says of the family: Transfer RNA (tRNA) molecules are approximately 80 nucleotides in length. Their secondary structure includes four short double-helical elements and three loops (D, anti-codon, and T loops). Further hydrogen bonds mediate the characteristic L-shaped molecular structure. tRNAs have two regions of fundamental functional importance: the anti-codon, which is responsible for specific mRNA codon recognition, and the 3' end, to which the tRNAs corresponding amino acid is attached (by aminoacyl-tRNA synthetases). tRNAs cope with the degeneracy of the genetic code in two manners: having more than one tRNA (with a specific anti-codon) for a particular amino acid; and 'wobble' base-pairing, i.e. permitting non-standard base-pairing at the 3rd anti-codon position. Lineage: Eukaryota; Metazoa; Chordata; Mammalia; Artiodactyla; Bovidae. The record is from Rfam by way of RNAcentral. RNAcentral also lists the same sequence under 4 other names.
UCCCUGAUAGCUCAGUUGGUAAAGAAUCUGCCUGCAAUGCAGGAGGCCCCAGUUCGAUUUCUGGGUGGGGAA